GAAUAUGAAGUGAUAAAAUUACAAUUAGUUUCGACCUAAUUUUAGGUAAAUAUUAUACCCUUAUUCU
RNAcentral lists this transfer RNA (67 nucleotides) under Compsilura concinnata. Its description in RNAcentral is "tRNA-Arg". The record is from RNAcentral. Lineage: Eukaryota; Metazoa; Arthropoda; Insecta; Diptera; Tachinidae.